Molecule: long non-coding RNA, 2169 nt
Organism: Columba livia (rock pigeon)
Lineage: Eukaryota; Metazoa; Chordata; Aves; Columbiformes; Columbidae
Exons: 3
Source: RefSeq, a predicted model, not a curated record
GCACUGGCUGGGCUCUGACAGAGACUGGGAGCGGGAGAGAGCCCUGCGGGUUUGUGCCCGUGUGCUGAGGGCUUGCAAGGAGCGAGCUGAGCUCACGAGAGGACGCCCUUGCCGGCAGCUGGGCUCCCUGGUGGCACUGCUGGUCUCUCUGACCAGUGACUGCCUGGACUCGUCCCGCCACAGGGCAUGGCUCUGCAUCAGCUACCUGGACCAAAUGCAAGUGUCAAGAUAUUCCGGCUGGGCACCGAGCAGCUCCACUGGCUCAGCGUAGCAGCCGUACCCACAGCAUCGGUACCCACAGCAUCAGUACCCGAACGCCUGGCGGAGCAGAUACGAGUAGUAACAAGAGCAGCCGCUUCCAGUCAGUAUCUCCAGCCUCAUUUCUUACCAUCUCUAAUGAAGGCAGUGAAGAACGUCCAUGCCCAUUUCUAGGCCAGAGCCAUGGCAUGGAAUUGCAGCCCUCUUCUGCUCCUGACAAGAACAAGGUGAAUUGCAUUUCAAAAAGUGGCUCUGCUUUCUUGUCAGCAUCCUCAAGUCACUUAUCCACACACAGGAUCUCACACUUACGGGCACUACACAGAGCCCAACUGUCUCCUCCAGCCCGACACCAGUUUGUUCCACCCCAUUUCUGUGGCGUCCUUGUCUACAAACACAGAUCAAGACAGGGUCUCCUGUGGAACCAGCACAGCACCACAGACCUUGUCUGAUCACACUAUUGGCAUUGUUUUGAUAAUUUCUGGCACUGUCGUAAUUGAACUGUCUGUAUAAUUGCCAGUUUGGUAGCACAUUAAGAAGUUCAGGAGGAUGCAGCAGCUGAUGCUCAGUUGCACUUUCUGCUUGUGAAGACUCCAGUUUUGUGCCCUUCCUGCUUUUUUAAACACUGCUGCAAACAGAGGCUCUCGUCACAGUGACUCACUGCCAGUGAUGUCCGUGUUUCCUCGCUGAGUACCUGACAGCUUCUCUGUGCAAUGGAAAGGGUGAAGAGCACAUGGGAAGCGACCAGAGACUCGCGGUUGCCAAGGCCAGUGCUGCAGGGUGGCUCCUGGGGUGUCUUAUUUCCCUUUGACUCCUCGUGCACACACACGUACAGCCCACAUAGGCCUGUGGCUUUUAUCUGAACGGUUUGAGGCAGAACUGGCACUUGUAAGAAUCUUUUUUACUGGACAGACCUGUUCUCAUCUGGAACUGAUGUGCACUGAGAUGUAUCUCCAAAGCAAAGCUGGUGAGUCAUUGUCACUUGUUCACACGAGGUGAAUACAACCUGCGAAAAACACCCUUGCCAUAGAAGCAUCUGAACACUUGUGCAUGUCAGGACUGUGCUUUCUCCGUAUAAUUCCAUAGGUUCAGUGUGUUUUAAUGGUUUUAAGGUUUAAGGUUUUAAUGCACGUGUAUUGAAUUCCAGAGGAAAACUUCGUCUAGUCGGUUAAUUGAAACAGCUUUAGUGGCGUAUGUUACGUGCUAACACACAAAGCAGCGUUGCGGUCUCUGAAACAUGCAUAGAAGGACGUAUAUUUAAGACAAUUCUAGACGUAAAUAAGCAUUAUGGUUCUUAUUGGGAUCUUUUGGCAUCUAAACUCUUAAAUGGGGAAAACAUCUGUGAAGCUCCUGCUAGAACAGCUGCAGAGUGGUGAAGAAUGAAUGUGGGACAAAUCACGUUUGGAUGCUUCACUCCUGCCACUUUCAGUCAAUAAAGGAGCCAAAUAACAUGCUUGUGAUUUAUAAACAUUAUUUUAAUGUUCAUGGCUUUUACAUGUUACACAUCCCAGGGUCUCGACUGCUGCAGUUCAUAUAACGUACGGUGAACAGGGAGGCGCUGAGUGUCCCAAAGCACGCCUCAAAUCUGUAGGAUACUCUUACCUGGAAACCUCAUUGGACAUUUACUCUUUGGUUUCUGAGUGUGUUCAACUAGGUAGUAGUUUAUUUUUAAUGCAUCGUAUUAAAUUGAUUUUAAACCACUUUUUUCUGAUCUGUAAAAUAUGCAAUGUGACUCAAUAUGUUUGAAUUGAAAUGAUUUGUCAGGUGACACGUAGUGGAAAUAAUCUUUAUUAUGACAGUGAUGUUUUUCUCAAGUAUUUUGCCAAGAAAAGUGAAUUUCUCAGAUUAAAUGGGUAGAAGUCAGCCAAUACCUUUUUCAAAGAAUGUGAGUUUGUCUCCACCUCUGUGACUAGU